GGCCGACUGGCAAAAUGGCAUCGCGUCUGACUACGAUGGGUUGCUUAUCUAAUCAGCUGCUUACGUAAGCAUCAGGAGACUGCAGGUUCGACCCCUGCGUCGGUCA
Non-coding RNA from Fomitopsis serialis, 106 nucleotides. Lineage: Eukaryota; Fungi; Basidiomycota; Agaricomycetes; Polyporales; Fomitopsidaceae. The record is from the annotation of a RefSeq genome assembly.